GUGGGGAAUUUUGGACAAUGGGGGCAACCCUGAUCCAGCCAUCCCGCGUGUGCGAUGAAGGCCUUCGGGUUGUAAAGCACUUUUGGCAGGAAAGAAACGGCGCCGGAUAAUACCUGGCGCAACUGACGGUACCUGCAGAAUAAGCACCGGCUAACUACGUGCCAGCAGCCGCGGUAAUACGUAGGGUGCAAGCGUUAAUCGGAAUUACUGGGCGUAAAGCGUGCGCAGGCGGUUCGGAAAGAAAGAUGUGAAAUCCCAGGGCUUAACCUUGGAACUGCAUUUUUAACUACCGGGCUAGAGUGUGUCAGAGGGGGGUGGAAUUCCACGUGUAGCAGUGAAAUGCGUAGAUAUGUGGAGGAACACCGAUGGCGAAGGCAGCCCCCUGGGAUAACACUGACGCUCAUGCACGAAAGCGUGGGGAGCAAACAGGAUUAGAAACCCGGGUAGUCC
Molecule: ribosomal RNA, 450 nt
Filed under: uncultured bacterium
Lineage: Bacteria
Description: bacterial SSU rRNA
Rfam family: Bacterial small subunit ribosomal RNA
Source: RNAcentral